ACGAACGCUGGCGGCGUGCUUAACACAUGCCAGUCGAACGGAAAGGCCCUGCUUUUGUGGGGUGCUCGAGUGGCGAACGGGUGAGUAACACGUGAGUAACCUGCCCUUGACUUUGGGAUAACUUCAGGAAACUGGGGCUAAUACCGGAUAGGAGCUCCUGCUGCAUGGUGGGGGUUGGAAAGUUUCGGCGGUUGGGGAUGGACUCGCGGCUUAUCAGCUUGUUGGUGGGGUAGUGGCUUACCAAGGCUUUGACGGGUAGCCGGCCUGAGAGGGUGACCGGCCACAUUGGGACUGAGAUACGGCCCAGACUCCUACGGGAGGCAGCAGUGGGGAAUAUUGCACAAUGGGCGGAAGCCUGAUGCAGCAACGCCGCGUGCGGGAUGACGGCCUUCGGGUUGUAAACCGCUUUCGCCUGUGACGAAGCGUGAGUGACGGUAAUAGGUAAAGAAGCACCGGCUAACUACGUG
This 467-nucleotide ribosomal RNA is filed under the name uncultured bacterium. Its description in RNAcentral is "partial 16S ribosomal RNA". It matches the Rfam family "Bacterial small subunit ribosomal RNA", at positions 29 to 507 of the family's 1533-position model. The record is from RNAcentral.